CUGCCCUGGUAAUUCCCAGGCUUCAAAAACCAGCAUAUGUCUGAUCAAUAAUGAGACACACAAAGGGGAUUGUGGGAUAAAGGGCGGGUCCAAUUUGAGGUAUUAAAAACUUGCCUAAGUCAUUUUUUUCCCAACACAUCUUGUGUUGCAGCAGAUAGUGGAGCCGUUAAUGGGCAAUGUUAGGGAAAUAAGAUUCUGGCUAUGAAACAAAAGAUUGUUUAAGUUGAAGAAGUAAAUAAUAGUAAGAAUAAGGACUUUUGCAAAAGCCAAGGUAAGAACAUUUUCCCUCUGUAAUAAAUCAACUAUUGAGCUCAAAUUUCUAAUGUUAUUUUGAAUUGUAUUUAUUAUUAUUGCCUUUUGCCUUUGCCCUAGCACAAACUACAAGAGCUCAAAGGAUGCUAAUUUAUUCCUAAAUGGGUAUGCUUAUACUUUCAAUGUGCCUUAGAAACAGCACGCUUUAUUUAUAUGUUCUUAUCUAUUAUUGUCAUCUUAAAAGUAAAUUUAACUUCUUCUACAUUGAAGAGAUAGGUUUACUUUCUAAAAUUUUCAUUGUAAGUUUUAAUUCUUUAAAUAAGGCAUUUCCGGUCCUUGUGGCAGAUUUUAUAUUCCCGGCAAAAGUAUUUCAUCACUUAAACUACAUUACACAUUGAUUAUCUAUUAUCUGCUCAUAUUAAGAAGGCUCUACCAUCAGUUAAUGUUUACUAAACAAUCAAUAAAAUCUAAGUGAAACCAGAAUAAACUCAAACAAAUAAGUGGGCUGAAAUUCAGAGAAAAUUGAGACCAUGUCCCCUUAGAAGGGCAGCCUUUGUGAGAACUCAUUUCUACCUAAAAGAUCUAAUUUAUCUUUUUUAAUGCCAUCAAAGUUAAUAAUGGAUGACAUGUCUUAUAGCUUCAGUGAUGCAGCAACUUGUCGAUAACACAGAGAAUUUAGAAACCAAUUCAUCAAUUCAUGAUUUUUUAAUUGGACCAUGGGUGGUUAAUUUUAAGUCAUUAGACUCUCCAAUAAUAAAACCUUAGAAAGAGAGAGUUAAUUAAUACAGAAGUGGGUAGCUAUCUCCUAUCUCCUCAAUGAAUAAGCGUUCCUGUUUUCUGCCUCAAUAACAGGUGGCACUUUUCCCUUGCAGCAUUUUUGGAGUGGGGUGAGGAUAAGAGCCUUCAGAUGGUCGGAGAAAGUAGUGGAUGCUGAAAGACUGAAUAAUGUCAUCAAACUGGCCUUUUGUCUUGCACCAUUACAGCUAUUUUUCUUGGCUUCAACCAGGAGCUUCAGAAGAACUAAAAGUCAUAUUUCUUUGCCCAGUUAUUGGUUUAAGGAAACCAGGGAUCACCAUGUAUUUUACGAAAAAGGAUGUGCAUCCUGCCAGAUUGUGGCAUGACACUCGGCCCCUCAAUAAGAAGCCAUUGGGUUCCAACUACAGAAGAAAUCUCAAACCUGACCCUUGCCUCUAAGGAGCAGACAAUGGCAUCUCCUCCAUCAUCCCAAAUGAAGAAUCAUCUUGGAAAAUUGUGACAAAUUUAUAGACUAAAGUUUCUUCUCCGUUGUAAGAAUCUUGAGACGUCUGGAAUUCUAGACACUGUCUCCUAAAAAUUUCCAGGAUAAACUUCCCUCCUUCUUUUACUAUAGGUGCACUCUACAAAAGAAGGUAGGUUUGAAAUGAUUCAGACACUGAGACUACAACCCCACUGAGUCAUGAUCAAUGCCUCAUGUCUUUGGUCUCCAAAAAGAGGACCUUCAAAAUAUUCUUUCUUUUUUAAGAAAUGGAAGGUGGCAUACACCAAGUCUUAAGAGUUACACCCAACUAUACACAGGCAAUCCUUAGUGAAUAUUCUAAUAGCAACUAGUUUAUUUAUUUCUCUCCAAUUACUCACGUCAGUAUCAUUAUCCAACUUGCUAAUGGCUUUCCUUGAAGAGGUUAUUUAUUCAUCUGCUUUGCUUCAGUUAUGAAAGAUGCACUGUGUCCCUUGAACUAGGGCUGGCUUCUUUUUAAGAUUUUCUAGAAGCUUAAACUAGAAGAGUAUGAAAAAGCCCUUUUUUAUGAGAACCAUUCUUUAUAUCAAUUACACUUUUGCUCUGUCAUUAAUUGUGACUACCUAUUUAAGAAUGUCUCCACCAUUCAGAAUGUGGAAAACAUGCCAAUGGGAAGCUCAGCUCAAUGGCAGUUCUGGCUUUGGCUUUGGGCUGGACACCCACUUAUGCACAGUAUGACUCAGACUCCCUUCUCGUAACGCCUUAUCUCUAGACACCAUUCUCCAUGAAUCCUUUUCUCUAUUCGUAAUCACUUCUAAUCCUCAUGCUCCUCUGUCUGACCUUCUCUUCCCACAAAAAUCCAGAAAGUAUGCACUUAAUAAACAAACAAAUCCAUUGACAAAGAUAGAUGUAUUCAGGGCAGCUUUACCAAAAUUCAGCUUCAAACUGGUAUUUAGCAAAAUUCCAGCCAAAAUGCUCAUUUGUAACUCUAGCCAACUAUUUUAUUGAAACCAAUUCAAAGCCAAACAUUUUUUGAAUGCCUACAAAGCUACAAAAAUAAUAAAUAAUGUUUGGCUAUCUUUCAAGCCUUGGGGGAUUCAGAGUCCCAAUCCCAAAAAGAACAAGAAGGCAAGGUAAAAAGGAAGCAGACAUGAAAAAGAUUAUUGCCUGGAGAGUGACUCCCACCCAGAAAUCAGAGAGAGGAAGUUUGUUUGAAGAAACUUGAAGUGGUCCCCACAUCUGCUAGGAAAUUGGGAUAUAGAACAGAGCCCUGUUGAAGGGGUUCUUAUAAGUCCUCUCACCCAUCAGCACCUUUUCAGUUGGUUUUCAUAGACUUUUCUGCCUUUGUUUUGAGUUAAUUUCCAAAAGAGGGAUUGCAAAAGACACUCAAAUGUAACAAAAUUAGUACCACUCCAGCACCAGUGUGAAUCUGAGUACCCAAAGACCUGAGCUGUUUCAGAAUUCUGACCUGAAGGCUAAGGGAGAACUAGAUUUCUAAGCAGCAUGUCUCAAAUGACAGAACACUUUUAUCCAUAAAGAAGAGAAAACUGAAUUAUAAAAUGGCUUAUGUCAACUCUGGAUACCAUUGGUUCAGAGAAACCAUAAGCAUCAUGCAAACUCAGAAGCCCCUCAGUGUAGAAAUAGAUACACCUCUUGGCCAACACCCUAGAGCACCCUGGUACAUCAUUAAUAAGUCAGUAACUUGAGCAAGGCACAGAAGCAGAUUUUAAAAACUUCUGGGAAGGAGGCGUCUGGGUGGCUCAGCCAGUUGAGGGUCCGAUUUCAGCUCAGGUCAUGAUCUUGCAGUUCAUAGUUCAACCCCCAUGUCAGGCUCACUGCUAUCAGUCUGUCAGCGCAAAGCCUGCUUCAGAUCCUCUGUCCCCUCCGUCACUUGCACUCUCCCAAAAAAUAAAUAAAUAUUUUUUUAAAAAGAAAAGAAAAACUUCUAGGAAGGAAGAUAAUAACGUAAGCAUAAAUAUAAGAGUGGAAUUUGGGCACCUCUUCUAAAAUCUAGAGGUUGGAAAGAAAAAACAAGUAAUUGAGUUAACCAAAGGACAUCAUGGUAAAAUUAAAAUAAAACCAGAAUUUAUUAACUAUGUAUCAGAUUUUGUACCAGGUAGACAUUUCCACAAUAUUAUCUCAGUUAGUUGUUAAUAAUGUCACCCACAAGUAUUAACAAUGCACAAACUGAAUCUCCAAGAAACAAAAUUAUUCACCUUAAAGCACCACGCUGGUAAGUGUAGUACCAGGAAUCACACCCUGCUCUACCUCACUCCAAAGCUCAUGUGCUUCCCAACCCCUUAUGCCAUCUUCCACAGUCAAUUGCAGGAGGGUUAAUCCUUCCGAGUUUUCAGAAGUUAUCUAAAUAAUUCUGACUCUGAGUAAAUAACAUGAUCUUAAGAGAAAUAUUGAAAUUGCAACUGUCUAAACAGAUCCAAUGACCUGAGAGAAACUUCUGUUACAUCCAAAUACAAAUCUAUAGAGAGUAAGAUCUAAGAGUUUACAGAAUUAAGAUCACAAAUGCAUACAUUGCAAUGCCCCCAAAGAUGCCUGUAGGAAUACUUUACUAUGGACUUAGAGUCUCCCUUCCUUUGGUAAUAUCCCUAAAAUCCUUGAACAGCAUGUAUGGUUUUAGAAAUAGCUUACUUCUUGAUACUUUACUACUAUUUUUUUAGUUUAUCUGGCCUAUGGACUAACCAGCCACAUUAGCAUAGCUUUGUUACCAAAACUUCUUUAUAUCAUUGCCCUCCUUUUCCCUUUUAAAUGCCCAUCACAACAACCCAGUAAGGUGGGCAAGGCAGCAAAGUAUAUGUCUAUACUUUCCCCCUAGUGCCUUCCCCACUGCAGUUGUGGGCAUGAUAUACCCUAUGUCUUGGGUUCACCUGCAGCUCUUUAUUUUCCUCAUCAAUGUACAGUACUUCCAGUUAUGACCUUUUUCUAAUGUUUUCCAGUAGAGGGAAGAAGAACUACAUCUUUAUUCUUGCUAUCUCUUAACAGUCACUGUCAGUGUUAAACCUUCUAGGAAGAAAGGGAAAUCAAAUCUAAGGUUAAGAGAAAAGAAAAAAAGAACAAGCCUGCAUGUUGCUUUGGAGUUGGAUCUGAUUUAUCCUAACCCCUUGAGAAGAAAGACAUGAGAAAUGAUAGGCCCUUGUUUUUUGCUUAGGAUAAAAUCCUCUAUUUCUUUUUGAUCCUGAGCAAUUUGACUCCAGAAAAUAGACAUAGACUAUAUUUUAAAUGCUAAAGUUCAGUGAGAAGACAUUUUUAUUUCUCAACAAGUAGCCUUCUACUUAGGAGUUCAUAUGAAAAGCAAGAUUAUAUUCUCUUGUUCUUUCUUAAUUGUUUUGUAACUUCAUAUCUCCCUGAAUUUUUUCCUUGAAAAGCCUUUUUUCUAACCAAGCAGAUUAUCAUUAUCCUAAUUCUGUCAAGUCUCAGUUAUUUAGGGACAAGUUAUGAGCUGGAAUCUAUAAUACUUUGCUUCAACAAACAUUUCAUUUAGCUCAACAAACUUUUAUUGUGUAACUUUUAAGUAGUAGAGGCCAUACAGAGAAUUGUAUGGCUGAGACUAUAAAGAUGAAUAAGGGUGGUCCUUACAUAUAGGAGGUCAUAGUCUAAUGAGGGAGACAACAUGUAAGCAAGAAAACAUCAUUGUGUAUAACAGGUGUGAAAAUAGAGAGGGUACAAAUUGAGCACAGAGAAGGGAGACAGAAGAGAGAAAGUGUCUGGUGUUGGUCUUAGAUUGAAUGUGUGUGUCAGUCACACAAGGUAUGUAUGUAUGCAUAUGUGUGUGUAUGUUUGUUCAAGGAGGGAGGGAGGAAGAGGAAACUGUCUCAAGUAUGUGCAAAGGCAUAAUACAGCUCAUUGGAUUAUGGAACUUCAAGCAGUUUGUUAUAGCUUGAGUCUACAAUUUAGGGGAAGAAAUGGACUAGUAUGAAAUGAAACUAGAGAGAAAGGCAGGGCAAAUCUCCAUCAAAAUGCAAAUCCUUGCCCUAAACCAGACAUACAAAAUCAAAAUCUGGACACGGACUCUGGGGAUCUGUUUGUAACAAGGUCCUCUGAUGCUUCUUAUACUCCCUGAAGCUGAGAAUCCCCACAGCAGAUGAUGGAGAACCUCUUCAGUCUCUCCCUCCUUCCUUUCUUGAUCAUUAUCCCUAUGAUUGAUCAGCCCCACUCAAUGAAUUAGAAGGGCGGAGGCUCAUGGCCCAAUCCAAUGUAACUGAAUAAAGCAGCAUGAGCAAAGGGAAGGACACAGAAACUACCAUCUAAAAAAGGUGAAGACCUGGACCCCCAUUAUCACACCUGCCCCUUUGGUGAGUAUAUAUAUGCUCAUUACCUUUUUCACUUACAUAAUUGUUGUUUGUUGGUUGUUGUUGUUUUUUUUUUUUACCUGAGGAACUAUUUUAGGUGUUGUUGGUAUUCCCAAAUUCCUUAUAAAGCUUGCUUAUAAAUGGUUUUUGAGUGAUUGGUUUUAUAUCCUCCUAUACUUACUUGUGUUUCUUAUUAUGUAAGGAUUAAAUAGAAUAAAUCCUUUCUAAAUGCAAAAAUUAGGACAUGAUAUGCAAUGCUGCACAUACCAGCAACGUGUGAAUAUAGGUUUCAAUUCACCAAGAGAAGUAGCUUGAUAAUGUCUCAUCAAGAAAAAAUCCAGGAGACAUAAUAACUCUUCAGCCAGUGUGCUCAGUGAAUAGCGCUAUGCUUUUACCCAAGGCACCCAUGUGCCUCUGCUCACAUGAUGCUCUUCUUGCAGGUCUAACCUGGAUGGCUGUGAGUUGGCUUAAUCUCAGCUGGCAACUGUGAGAUGUUCAUACAAUCCCCCACAGUGGUCUCUGGGAUUAUGCUAAACAGAGCAAUUUCCUUGCCCUCAUGGAUCAAAAGACUUGUAGGCAACCCAAAUUACAGUACGGAAUUACUAGUUCAUGACAAAAAAAAAAAAGGCAAAGUUGCUAUGGUUACUGUUUCAUGUUCAACCUCUUUUAAUCUUACUGAAGUCUUUUCUGAAGUCCUGCUCUGCGAGAAAGGCAACCAGCCUUGGGAAUUAAUUUGUCUUUAUUGGAUUCAUGUUCCAUUUAUAGCACUCCUUUAAGGCUCCUUGGUUUUUUGUUUGUUGUUUUUUUUUAAAUCAACCAAGGGAGUUUGGUGUUAGAAGCUAAACCUAAAAUGUUUUCCUUCUGAAAGCUCCUCCCACUCUUUCUGGGGGUGCUGUCAGAUUCCAAGCAGUCCAAAAGAGGAUGAUCUGCCAGCCCUACUCAAACUUCAACUGCCCAGAUUCUCACACUGAAAGUCUCUUCCUCAUUCCUACUAUGUACGUUUCACAUUCAACUGUCCUAAUUGAUACUGAAAUUUAGAAUCAACUGUGGCUCUGGCCUCAAAGGCUUUUUUGAGCCAUGCCUAACUCCAAUUCUUGGUGACCCCUGGAAACAGGGGCAGAAGACUAUUCUGGAAAAAGAUUGAGAACAAAUGUGAUUCCUCAGGAUAAAAAAAUCAAGGCCAGUUCUCUUUCUCAUUCACCCAGCAGCACCAAACCAAUUAGAUGGAACAAAUUUGUAAUUAAUGUAAGAUUAACUUUAGCAACAAAAUGUAUUAAACAUGCUAUUUCAAAGGUCUUGGCUGACGUAGUUCCUUGGGUAUCUUCAGGAAGAGAAGAAGCCUGUGUGUCUAUCCGAUUAGAUUACACAUCUGCUAUUGUGACCUAUUAGGUUUCCUUGCCAGAAAGUGAUGUUGGGUAGUAGGAAGUCAGUUUGAGGACUAGUUAUUCCCAGACUAACAGGACAAAUACUGAAAUAUAAGCCAGAAAAUAACUUACCUCUCAUAAGAAGAGGGCUUCAUAUUAAUCUGCAUCACUCAUUAGGGCCCUUUAAAGCUAUGAAAUUCUCCAGAUAUCAUCUGUAUCUUCCUGCUAGUUGAAAUAGCCUUUUUUUCCCCAUCAAACAUUAAAAAAUUACCAAUUCCAAUUCUUGGUGACAAUUUUUCAAAAAAGAUACAUUCUUUUUUCAAAAGGAAAGAAAAUUAAUGUAAUUAAAUAGGACAAGAAAAAAAUUUUAAAUAGAUGAGCACAUACUAUGUUUCAGGAAUUGUGUUUGUGGUCAUGUUGGUACAUGCGGUAAGUACUGUAGAUGUUUGCAGUACUGUCUACACAUCUAAGCACCAGGGGAGCUUUCAGAAAGGCCAAAGGCAAGGGCUUCAUCACAGAUGAAUUAAAUCAGAAUGACUAGGUGUGGGGCCUGAGCAUCACUAUUUAUGAGCUGCCCAGCAGAUUCUAAUGUGCAGUCAGAGGUGAGAAUCAGUGUAUGUGAGUCCAACGAGAAGGCUGUGGAUGGAGUGGAGUGGAGUGAAAGAGAAACUGGUAGGAGAUGGAAUUGGAGCAAUAACUGGGUGGUCCAUGGUAAGGAUUUGGGGUUUUAAUGUGAAUGACUUGAGAAGCACUGGGGGAGAGUUUUUUAAUUAGAGAAGUAGCAUGACUUGUUUACUAGGUAACAUAGAUCGAAUAGGAUUUUCUCAGAACUUAAUAACUUAUAAACUCUAAGGAAAAACAUGUGUUGUGGGCUCCAAAUAGCAACCUUGCAAUUAAACUUGAGAAGCAUAGACCACAGGACAGGCAGGUUCCUACCAAGAGGAGAGCUAGUAUAAAAGACCAAAGAGAAAACUGGCUCUGGAAUUAGGAGUCCCAACUCCUUUUGAAAACUAAUUAGCUUUUUUGCUGCUUUAAGGGGGGGGGGGGGGAAAUCACGUAUCUUUUCAGCCACAUAGAAUAUGACUUGAAAAAAAAAAAAACUUAAAAAUUUUAUCACCCUGGUGAUAAUUAGCAUCGAAAUAAGGGAAGGCUUUGGCAUCUCUGUCAAUGAGACACCCAAAAUAUUGUUGUUGGAUGGGAUUAGUUUAUGACAGUGCUAAUAGAGGAUAGAGUGCAACAGGGUUCCCAGCCUUUUCCUAUGGAGGCUCUGUCUUGCUCACUAUAUGAGACCUUGUUAGGGCUCCUGGGAACCAAGUCCUCACCUCAAUCGCCAGUACCUAUAGUAUGGCCCUUGUUCUUCCUUGUUACUACCUAUACCAUGAAGACUAUCUACAUCAAAGUGGAAGAAGCUGGUCUCUCUCCCAGAGCAAGCAAGCAGAGCCUACUGCCAGUCUGCAGGCCUGCACCUUAAAUGUGUGCUGAACCUGUGAUUCUGAUCUGCUGCACUAAACCUGAACUCUAUUCCUGCUCAGUGCAGCUGACCAUGCUCUCUUCAUCCUCCAGCCUGUGUGUUCCUGUCUGAUCACAGAUUGCAACUCACUGUGGCUCUAAGCAUUACUCAGGUCAGACCUCACCUCUACACCUGGAUUUGGCUUUGCACAUAGGAACCACGGUGACCAUGUGUCGCCUACAGGCUUCACUAUUUGGGGCCCCAUGUAAAGGGCAUCCCAAGGCUGCUUCUUUAGAUCUUGCCUGAUUCUUCCCUGACCAGUUGUGUCCCAGUAUGUACUGCACAUAAACCUGUGGUGCUUAAAACUUGCCCUGAGUGUUCUCUAAGCAUCCCUGGCUUUGUCCUCAGGUGUACACUUCGAGCUUGCAGGUGUCCCACCACACCCAGCCCUGGCUUCUACCAGAGUGACAGAAGUCCAGAGAUCCAUUGAUUUCCCCACUGAUUUCCUAGUUUUCAUACUACCUUCAGUUCCCCAAAUGAGCGAAGGUCUCCUUCUGAGCUCAUUCCCCUGGACAACUCUUGACUGAACCUUCUUAGUGCUAGAAAUCAACAUUUCAGUCCUGGCCCAAAAAGUGAAGUAAGAUUACCAGCCUUCCUUAGACCAUUAGUGCUAGCAGUUCAGCUGGCCCAGGAGGCUGACCUUGGUUUUCAGGUACUGCAGGGAGCCCCAUGCUGUAAGCCCAACUUGACAGCAAGUUUUAUUUAUUCCAUUAAUGAGAACAAGCUAGCUAGAUGGUGGUCAUCCUUCUGCCUUCAAAGGAUUUUAUCGUUCUCUGCUUCUGAAUGUAUGUAGUAAGGAAUGUGGGCAGGCUCAAGUCAGCCAGCAAAAAUUCCAUCUGCCACCAAGAAGGCCUCUGAAGUCACUGACAAAGUCAAAAAGCCCAAGGCAUCCUAGCAGCACCCCUAUGCAAGCUAAAAGUGACCCCAGGCUCACAAUGUCUGUCUUCUCUGUGCAUCCAGAUUAGAACUUGCUGUGGCCCUCUCCAGGCUGUACUACUGGAGAAUAAAUAGUCGUUGAAUGCCCAGAAAGGCCAUCUUUGUCUUCCUUUGUCAAUUAAUUAAAUUCCUUUAAUUAAUUAAUUAAAAAAUCAAAACUAAACAACAGAACAAAGAGGGUUUAUGUGUCCAGUGAUGAUUGCAAGAUCUCAGGAAGUCUACAGCUGUCCAUCCUAUCUAAGACAGAGCUAUCUUCCAUGAAGGUGGAGCAGGGUUAAAGAAACCUUUACUGGUUACAGAUUCAAUCCUCUAUUGGCUAGAGCACUUUGAUAUUAGUAAUCCUGCCAGGUACCCAAUUUGUACCUGUAUAACCCAUUCUUCUGAAUCAUUUUUGAAGCCCAAACUUCUCCUUAAAAACACACUUUCU
Acinonyx jubatus (cheetah) is the source of this 10006-nucleotide long non-coding RNA. RefSeq lists it as uncharacterized. The record is from RefSeq and is a predicted model, not a curated record. The transcript has 5 exons. NCBI's taxonomy places the organism in Eukaryota, Metazoa, Chordata, Mammalia, Carnivora, Felidae.